AUACGAUGAAGAGUUUGAUCCUGGCUCAGGAUGAACGCUAGCGGCAGGCUUAACACAUGCAAGUCGAGGGGUAGUAGGAGCUUGCUUCUAUGAGACCGGCGCACGGGUGCGUAACGCGU
Molecule: ribosomal RNA, 119 nt
Filed under: Pseudomonadota bacterium
Lineage: Bacteria; Pseudomonadati; Pseudomonadota
Description: Proteobacteria bacterium partial 16S ribosomal RNA
Rfam family: Bacterial small subunit ribosomal RNA
Source: RNAcentral